Molecule: ribosomal RNA, 450 nt
Filed under: uncultured bacterium
Lineage: Bacteria
Description: partial 16S ribosomal RNA
Rfam family: Bacterial small subunit ribosomal RNA
Source: RNAcentral
CCUACGGGUGGCUGCAGUAAGGAAUAUUGGUCAAUGGACGAAAGUCUGAACCAGCCAUCCCGCGUGCAGGAUGAAAGCCCUCUGGGUUGUAAACUGCUUUUCGCAGAGAAGAAAAGCUUCCAUUUAUGGGGGUCUGACGGUAUCUGCAGAAUAAGCACCGGCUAACUCCGUGCCAGCAGCCGCGGUAAUACGGAGGGUGCGAGCGUUAUCCGGAAUUACUGGGUUUAAGGGGUGCGUAGACGGAAGAUUAGAAAUCUUGUCGCUUAACGAUAAAAUUGCCAAUGAUACUGGUACUCUUGAAUUGGGUUGAGGGUAGCGGAAUGUGACAUGUAGCGGUGAAAUGCAUAGAUAUGUCAUGGAACACCAAUUGCGAAGGCAGCUAACUGGGCCGUGAUUGACGCUGAGGCACGAAAGCGUGGGGAGCGAACAGGAUUAGAUACCCUAGUAGUC